GAUGAACGCUGGCGGCGUGCCUAAUACAUGCAAGUCGAGCGAACAGACGAGGAGCUUGCUCCUCUGACGUUAGCGGCGGACGGGUGAGUAACACGUGGAUAACCUACCUAUAAGACUGGGAUAACUUCGGGAAACCGGAGCUAAUACCGGAUAAUAUAUUGAACCGCAUGGUUCAAUAGUGAAAGACGGUUUUGCUGUCACUUAUAGAUGGAUCCGCGCCGCAUUAGCUAGUUGGUAAGGUAACGGCUUACCAAGGCGACGAUGCGUAGCCGACCUGAGAGGGGGAUAGGCCACACUGGAACUGAGACACGGUCCAGACUCCUACGGGAGGCAGGAGUAGGGAAUCUUCCGCAAUGGGCGAAAGCCUGACGGAGCAACGCCGCGUGAGUGAUGAAGGUCUUCGGAUCGUAAAACUCUGUUAUUAGGGAAGAACAAAUGUGUAAGUAACGAUGCACGUCUUGACGGUACCUAAUCAGAAAGCCACGGCUAACUACGU
RNAcentral lists this ribosomal RNA (496 nucleotides) under uncultured bacterium. Its description in RNAcentral is "partial 16S ribosomal RNA". It matches the Rfam family "Bacterial small subunit ribosomal RNA", at positions 28 to 506 of the family's 1533-position model. The record is from RNAcentral.